RNAcentral lists this ribosomal RNA (465 nucleotides) under uncultured bacterium. RNAcentral's name for it is "partial 16S ribosomal RNA". It matches the Rfam family "Bacterial small subunit ribosomal RNA", at positions 28 to 507 of the family's 1533-position model. The record is from RNAcentral.
GACGAACGCUGGCGGCGUGCUUAACACAUGCAAGUCGAACGGAAAGGCCCCUUUGGGGGUACUCGAGUGGCGAACGGGUGAGUAACACGUGAGUAACCUGCCCUUGCCUUCGGGAUAACUUCAGGAAACUGGGGCUAAUACCGGAUAGGAAUCCUUGCUGCAUGGUGGGGGUUGGAAAGCUUCGGCGGUGUUGGAUGGACUCGCGGCUUAUCAGCUUGUUGGUGGGGUAGUGGCUUACCAAGGCUUUGACGGGUAGCCGGCCUGAGAGGGUGACCGGCCACAUUGGGACUGAGAGACGGCCCAGACUCCUACGGGAGGCAGCAGGGGGGAAUAUUGCACAAGGGGCGGAGGCCUGAUGCAGCAACGCCGCGGGCGGGAUGACGGCCUUCGGGUUGUAAACCGCUUUCAGCAGGGGCGAAGCUUGUGGUGACGGUACCUGCAGAAGAAGCACCGGCUAACUACGUG